UGAAACUGUUAGCCAUGAGAUUAAACAGACACACACACACUUACUGCUUUAUUUCCAGUGGUGAGCAUGGUGUCUGAUUCAUUGUGAGUACUUGUUAAAUAUUGAUUGAAAAAAAAAAAAGGUAGACCAUGUCAUAGGAAUAGUGUAGAGGUCAUUGACUAUUAUGUCUUUAUUGCUUCUGGCAUAAAUCUCCUGAGUAGUUUGAUUUGGAACAUGGGGUUAGUACUAGAACGAAUAUCAAGAGAUAAGAUUGCUUUCCCUUGACUUUUGCCUUGAUGGUCUGGAAGCCAGGAGCCUAAUUUGCAACCAAACUAUAGUGUGAAUGUAAUUUUUACUCCAUGGCAUGAGAUGCUGUGGAUUGGAAGGGAGCAGAAAUGAAGCAAAGUCGGUUAGAUGGCUGUGGCUGCAGUCCAGGUAGAAAACACGGGACACCAUUAACAAUGGAAGUUCAAGGGAGGAGGGAGGCAGGGAGGGAAAGGCCAAGGAUAGCCUUUGGGCUCUUGUCAGUAACCAAAGAUGACAUCAUGCACCUGGGAAAGAGGUUCGGCAGAGGGUGGCAAGUUAACUUGGAUGGUAUAGACUGUGCGGUACUUGUGAGGCAUCUAUGUAGAAAUGCCUUCUAUAUGGUUGAUGAUGCAGAGUAAGGGUGGCUGAGGAAUGUAUGUGUGGGACUUCUCUCUUCAUGGGUUAUUCACUCAAACUGCAAGAGUUUGAGUGAAUAGAAGUCUUGGGGCGGUAGGAUGGUAAGAGGUAAAAUGAGGCCUGAGAUACAUCUCUUGAACUCUGUUCAAGACUUAAGUAUGAAGAAGAGCAAGAAAAGAAAGGUUUUUAGAAGGAAUGGAUGCUGAUUGUGUUUAAUCCCAGCACUCAGAGGUGGAGGCAGGCGGUUCUCUGAGUUUGAGGAUUGCUUGGUCUAAAUGUCAAGUUCCACAUCAGCCAAGGCUGUGAGAGUCACUUUUGGUGGAUGCAGAGAGAGCAGCUUUGGUGAAACACAGUGGGAGUUUGUGGGAAGGUGGUGUCAACAUCGUCAGGAGGG
This 1036-nucleotide long non-coding RNA is filed under the name Cricetulus griseus (Chinese hamster). RNAcentral's name for it is "lncRNA (ENSCGRG00015034703.1)". The record is from RNAcentral. Lineage: Eukaryota; Metazoa; Chordata; Mammalia; Rodentia; Cricetidae.